GAUGAACGCUGGCGGCGUGCCUAAUACAUGCAAGUCGAGCGAACAGACGAGGAGCUUGCUCCUUUGACGUUAGCGGCGGACGGGUGAGUAACACGUAGGUAACCUACCUAUAAGACUGGGAUAACUUCGGGAAACCGGAGCUAAUACCGGAUAAUAUUUCGAACCGCAUGGUUCAAUAGUGAAAGAUGGCUUUGCUAUCACUUAUAGAUGGACCCGCGCCGUAUUAGCUAGUUGGUAAGGUAACGGCUUACCAAGGCAACGAUACGUAGCCGACCUGAGAGGGUGAUCGGCCACACUGGACCUGAAAAACGGUCCGAACUCCUACGGGAGGCAGCGGUAGGGAAUCUUCCGAAAUGGGGGAAAGCUUGACGGAGCAACGCGGCGUGGGUAAUGAAGGUCUUCGGAUCGUAAAACUCUGUUAUUAGGGAAGAACAAAGGUGUAGGUAACUGUGCACGUCUUGACGGUACCUAAUAAGAAGGCCACGGCUAACUACGU
RNAcentral lists this ribosomal RNA (496 nucleotides) under uncultured bacterium. Its description in RNAcentral is "partial 16S ribosomal RNA". It matches the Rfam family "Bacterial small subunit ribosomal RNA", at positions 28 to 506 of the family's 1533-position model. The record is from RNAcentral.